Tricholoma furcatifolium is the source of this 90-nucleotide non-coding RNA. The record is from the annotation of a GenBank genome assembly. Lineage: Eukaryota; Fungi; Basidiomycota; Agaricomycetes; Agaricales; Tricholomataceae.
GCUGGGAUGGCCGAGUCGUUAAGGCGAGUGAUUUGAACUCACAACAUCACUUGGUGUUUCACCGCGUAGGUUCAAAUCCUGCUUCCAGCG